AGCAGCCGCGGUAAUUCCAGCUCCAAUAGCGUAUAUUAAAGUUGUUGCAGUUAAAAAGCUCGUAGUUGAAUUUCGGGAUCAAUACGUCGGUCGUGCUUCGGUACGUACUGGCGUCAUUGAUUUCUCCCUUCUGACGAACCAUGAUGUCAUUAACUUGGUGUCAUGGGAAAUCAGGACUGUUACUUUGAAAAAAUUAGAGUGUUUAAAGCAGGCUCACGCUUGAAUACAUUAGCAUGGAAUAAUGAAAUAGGACGUUCGAUCCUAUUUUGUUGGUUUCUAGGAUCAACGUAAUGAUUAAUAGGGAUAGUUGGGGGCAUUAGUAUUCAAUUGUCAGAGGUGAAAUUCUUGGAUUUAUUGAAGACUAACUACUGCGAAAGCAUUUGCCAAGGAUGUUUUCAUUAAUCAAGAACGAAAGUUAGGGGAUCGAAGACGAUCAGAUACCGUCGUAGUCUUAACCAUAAACUAUGCCGACUAGGGAUCGGAUGAUGUUAAUUUUUUAAUGACUCAUUCGGCGCCUUACG
Molecule: ribosomal RNA, 521 nt
Filed under: uncultured Glomeraceae
Lineage: Eukaryota; Fungi; Glomeromycota; Glomeromycetes; Glomerales; Glomeraceae
Description: SSU rRNA
Rfam family: Eukaryotic small subunit ribosomal RNA
Source: RNAcentral